Molecule: RNA transcript, 950 nt
Organism: Schistocerca piceifrons (Central American locust)
Lineage: Eukaryota; Metazoa; Arthropoda; Insecta; Orthoptera; Acrididae
Exons: 4
Source: RefSeq, a predicted model, not a curated record
UGAGGCUGCCACAGCAGCCGGUUCGUACUUUGGGCCUUCUGAGGUUUGUUCGGAUGAAGUUUAGUUUACGGUUUAUAUACAACGUAUUCAGUACAAAUUCUAGGAUAAGUGAGAAAUACAUCUACAGGUGAUGUAUUAAAGAGGACAUCAUUAGGAUCUUUAAUUCUUCGUUAAAAAAAUUUUAACUGAGAUUUUGAUUAACAAUAUGAUGUAUAUAUGAAGUUUGAGACAUUGUUAACUUGUUACAAACAUAACUAUUAAAUCACAUUCCGUCAUAAGAUAAUGAAAGGAGAAGGCAGAAGUAACACUUGGAUAACACAGAGGAAACUUUACAAGAAAGUCAUUACUGCAACAAAGAAGAUAAAAAUGAUUCAUAUAUCACAGAAACAAGGGGGGAGAAAUGAAAUCAAUUUGGAAAGUGAUCAGUGCAUCCUUAGUCAGAAGCAAAAGUUUUUCAAGCAGGCAAUGAAAUUUCACCAGAGAAGCUUCAAUUGUAGAAAUUACUAUGACAUUUAGUUCCCUCAAUUCGGUACAGCAGCUUUCAAAUAUACUCUUCAUUCAAAUGAUUAAAAUCAUUUCUUAUUUCAUAUUUUAUAUCAGGAUGAGUGCGCAUAUCUUCAUCCGAAACAAACCGAGUACCACGAGCGUCUUUCUUCAGGACUCCAAACAAUGGAAAUCACGAGGGUAGAGAUCAGUAUUGUAUGGAGAAUGUGUUAAGAGCUUCCCGUAAAACUUCUGCAACACAGCUGAGACAACCAUGGCAACAUUGGGCUGUUCAUUAGCUUCGGAUGAAGAGGCAAAUCACAGGUCUUUAUGCAACUGUAAACAUUCUUAUAUAAAGGCUUCCACCAUCUUCUCUCUCAGUGGGCCAUAUGUAUUAACGGGGGUAAAUGUAUUAACAGUUAUGGUGAUUACUUUUGGAAUAGUAAACAAUUUACUUACUUUUUUUC